GAUUAAGCCAUGCAUGUACUAAGUAUAAAUAGUAUACAGUAGAAACUGCGAAUGGCUACAAUUAAAACUAGUUAUAGUUUAUUUGAUAAUUGAAUUCUACAUGGAUAACCGUAGUAAUUCUAGAGCUAAUACAUGCUAGUAAAACCUGACUUUUCGGAAAGGUUGUAUUUAUUAGAUAUCAAACCAAUAAUCUUUCGGGAUUAUUGUGAUGAUUCAUAAUAACUGAUCGGAUCAAGGUGUACCUUGAUAGAUCAUUCAAGUUUCUGCCCUAUCAGCUUUCGAUGGUAGUGUAUUGGACUACCAUGGCAGUCACGGGUAAUGGAGAAUUAGGGUUCGAUUCCGGAGAGGGAGCCUGAGAAACGGCUACCACAUCUACGGAAGGCAGCAGGCGCGUAAAUUACCCAAUCCUGAUUCAGGGAGG
Molecule: ribosomal RNA, 421 nt
Filed under: uncultured eukaryote
Lineage: Eukaryota
Description: SSU rRNA
Rfam family: Eukaryotic small subunit ribosomal RNA
Source: RNAcentral